GACGGACGCUGGCGGCGUGCCUAACACAUGCAAGUCGAACGGAAAGGCCCUGCUUUUGUGGGCUGCUCGACUGGCGACCGGGUGAGUAACACGUGAGUACCCUGCCCCUCACUUUGGGAUAUCUUCAUACAACUGGGGCUAAUCCCGCCUAGGAGCUCUUGCUGCUUGGUGGGCGUUGGUAAGUUUCGGUGGUUGGGGAUGGACUCGCGUCGUAUCAGCUUGUUGGAGGGGUAGUGGCUUACCAAGGCUUGGACGGGUAGCCGGCCUGGGAGGGUGAGCGGACAAAUUGGGACGGAGAUACGGCACAGACUCGACCGGGAGGCAGCGGAGGAGAGGAGAGCACAGGGGGCGGGAGGCUGAUGCAGCACCGCCGCGCGGGGUAUGACGGCCUGCGGGUUGUGAAGCAAUGUCGCCUGAGACGAAGCGUGAGUGACGGUAACGGGUAAAGAAGCACCGGCUAACUACGUG
Molecule: ribosomal RNA, 468 nt
Filed under: uncultured bacterium
Lineage: Bacteria
Description: partial 16S ribosomal RNA
Rfam family: Bacterial small subunit ribosomal RNA
Source: RNAcentral